GACGAACGCUGGCGGCGUGCUUAACACAUGCAAGUCGAACGGAAAGGCCCUGCUUUUGUGGGGUGCUCGAGUGGCGAACGGGUGAGUAACACGUGAGUAACCUGCCCUUGACUUUGGGAUAACUUCAGGAAACUGGGGCUAAUACCGGAUAGGAGCUCCUGCUGCAUGGUGGGGGUUGGAAAGUUUCGGCGGUUGGGGAUGGACUCGCGGCUUAUCAGCUUGUUGGUGGGGUAGUGGCUUACCAAGGCUUUGACGGGUAGCCGGCCUGAGAGGGUGACCGACCACAUUGGGACUGAGAUACGGCCCAGACUCCUACGGGAGGCAGCAGUGGGGAAUAUUGCACAAUGGGCGGAAGCCUGAUGCAGCAACGCCGCGUGCGGGAUGACGGCCUUCGGGCUGUAAACCGCUUUCGCCUGUGACGAAGCGUGAGUGACGGUAAUGGGUAAAGAAGCACCGGCUAACUACGUG
RNAcentral lists this ribosomal RNA (468 nucleotides) under uncultured bacterium. RNAcentral's name for it is "partial 16S ribosomal RNA". It matches the Rfam family "Bacterial small subunit ribosomal RNA", at positions 28 to 507 of the family's 1533-position model. The record is from RNAcentral.